This 87-nucleotide transfer RNA is filed under the name Candidatus Moraniibacteriota bacterium. Its description in RNAcentral is "Candidatus Moranbacteria bacterium tRNA-Ser". It matches the Rfam family "tRNA". From Rfam's summary of the family: Transfer RNA (tRNA) molecules are approximately 80 nucleotides in length. Their secondary structure includes four short double-helical elements and three loops (D, anti-codon, and T loops). Lineage: Bacteria; Candidatus Moraniibacteriota. The record is from RNAcentral.
GGAGAGGUCGCAUAGUGGCCGAGUGCGCCCGCUUGGAAAGCGGGUGUCCCGUAACAGGGAUCGAGGGUUCGAAUCCCUCUCUCUCCG